AACUAGACAAAAACCAAGUUGUUCGCAUUCAAUAUGUUCUUUGAACUUGGGGAAUUACAGUAAUGUAUUUAGAAGGAAAAGUCAACAUUUUUCCCCGCAAGGCAUCCGUAGCACCCUUCUAAUUUGUUCAUAUGAAUUUACCACAUUUAUUUCAGUUGGUAAAUUGUUCUGAUGUGGGCCUAUAAAUGUAUUUGCUGCUGUUAUUUGUAUGGUUAAUGUGGCGAAAGUAUAUGUUAGAUACCAAAAUGUCCUAUGUUUUGUAAGGCUUUUGAACUCCUCACCCACCUUCAGUUUUUGGGGUUCUGAUUUGUUUGGGCAGGUGUCAAUCAUUUUAUGUAAUUCGGGAUGAACCUGUGGGAUUGUCAGGGGGCGGGGUUAAUAGAGAAAAGUACGGAGACGAGAAAAAAAAAGAAAAAAAAAGAUGCUGCCGGAAAAAGAGUAAAAAAGACGACAUGUCAUCUCCGAGAGAACUUCCAGUUAACUUGAUAAGAAAGUAUUAUAAGUUAUCGUUAUCAAGCGGGGGGGUUAUGUGAGUGGUUGUUCAUUUUGUUAAAAUUGUAACCGAGCGUGUUUUGGAAGUGAGGGUUUCGCGACUGGGGACUGUUGCUAGCGGUUAGCAUCGCAGGCUGCUAAUCAGGAGACGCCGGCGGAUGAGGUUGGACGUUGCCACGUUCUGCUGCAUGUCGGAGGAGCCAGAGCAGGACCAAGCAUUGGGACGGGCCAGAGCCCUUGAGAGAGAGUGUAACCACAUCUCCGUUCACUCCAAUGGACCAUUCUCCUCCCCAAUCAAUGGCGGAUCAUGGAGCCUCGCAAUAGUUCCCGGAAGUGAGCAGCAGCGCAUUAGAAUAGCAGCAGAUUGGAUCAAUGGACCGUCUGUUGCACUUAUGAAGGGUCUGUGGAUCCAUCUGUCUGUCACGCGACACAGAGGAGUCUUGACGACCAGAUGCUCACGUUCACAGCCGAGGGAUUUGAAACCACCUUACCCAGUAGCACAGUCGGCCCUGAAAUAGGGUGUUGCUGGGGUGUCGGAGGAUCACACCCUUUUAUGCUUCCCACCUGCUCCGAAACUCACCCUAUACUGUGUCACGAUAUAGCCACACACACUGUCUCUCUCUCUCGCUCACACAGACGCACACCCAGUCGGAGUACCUCUAUAUAGACAAAGAGCACAAAGCACAAAGGUGAUGUAGUGACAGAUGCUCCUGUCACAUACUUAGCAUAUCUCCACCUCCAAAAUAGUUCAGGACUCGAUCUGCCUCUCUCGCUUCACGGAAACCAUCAGUGCCACUCUUCGUAACUCAUUAGUUUCCACUCGAUCUGACAGAUAAGCGCUUUUAAAAACCACAAUCCUUCACCCAAUAUUUAUCCAAUCUGACCAAAUAUUAUAAUUAAUGCGUCUGUCUCGCCUCUCCUCUCCUCUCUCCUCCAGGCCAAUACAUAUCCCCCACUUAUCUCCCUUCCCUCCCACCCUGCCUAACCUUUCAGUGCCAAGUUCACAGAUAGAGAGAAAGUACUUCCUGCGAGAGGCCGGGCCGGCUGCCAGAGAGACUGAUCCACCAAUCUGACACGUUAAUGAGAUCCUGGCCCGUAGCACUGGAGUGUCAGGCCUCCUCCACUGCAGCAUCAGCCCUGGCGUGACCUGCAACACACACACACACACACACACACACACACACACACACACACUUACAGAAAUAACCACAUACACACAUGCACAUCUCUACUCAUAUGUGUAAUUUUUUUCACACUUGCAACCCGGAGAAAUUGAGGCACAAAUGAAGCCGAGUUUCUCCACACACACACUCUUUGAGAGGAGGGGGUUUCAGCUCCUUAAAUCUGUCUAAUUAAAACACCAAAUCCCUCUACUCCCCUCACCCACCAACCCAAUCCUCACUUCGCAGCCACACACACACACACAUACGCUCUCGCACCCCCCGCCCUCCUCCAACCUCCGCUGCCGCCACCACCCCCGAUUCCGCAGGAGAAAUGAUUAUUAGGAAUUUAAUGGGGGAACGUUUCCCAUCCCACACCAUCUGGGGCUUGGGAAUGGCACGGAAUUUGAGGAUGCUUGCCGACGUGGCGGGGAACAUUAUUUUCAUUUUUCUUGACUGGUGCUCAGAUUUUCAGACACUGCAGGAAGAAGAAGAAAAAAGUCUCCAGAUUACAAUUAAAUUACCAUAAUAUAUUACAAAAUAAAAAUACAUAUAAAGAUGAAUCUUGUGCGCGUUUGUCCGUGUUCGGUGACUGCACAAAACUUUUUUCCUCAACUUCUGAGAUGAUUGUUGUGGUUUCCAAAACUUAUGCCCGUGGAAACACAAGGUUUGUUUUGCACUAACUGUGACACCACAUCUUGUGAAUUGUGAAUACAGCUCUAUAAGAUACAUAUCCUCCGUUCCUGUCCUUCACCUCCCACACAGAGCUGGGCCAUAUGCUCCCUCUCUCUCUCUCCCUAUACUUCUUUCUCCCCCCCUCGCUCGCUCUCUCUCCACCCAGCUUAAUGAGCUGCAUGAAUAUAGGGCUACGUGUACAUGUUUGACCCUGUGCUAAACUGCUGCACGCCGCCCCGUGGAUCCUGUGGGUGUGAAACAGCCCCCUUCUCUCCUCCUCCUCCUCACCCUUGUCAGCCUCCAUGUGAGGCCCCAAGAGGGAUUUGAACCCCCAAAACACAUGUGCAUACAUAUAUUCACAUGCACGCAGCAUAGAGGAAGAGGCAGCCAGACUGACAGGGUGAGAAUCUUCAUGAAUGGGACAAAUAAGGGUUGGUGGAUUGAAGGAUGGGGGGCUAAAGAGGUGCUUUAAAGCCCCAGAGGGAGCUCUAGCAACCUGGUCCUCCAGUUUUACGACUAAAAAGAGGAAGAGAAGGAUGUGCGAGGGAAUGAAGACCACUGUAAUACGAGCUUUGUCUUCAAAAAAUAAAAUAAAGGCAGUUUUCAUUUUCCUUACAAGAACGCGUUGAAAUUUUUAAUUUCCCACAUCAGCCAAACAAUCCCAAGUAUUCCUGCCUUCAUUGCUGGAAACAUCAAUCCCCAAAACCAACAUUUAUUCCACUAUCUAAAUCAACAUGAGACAAGUCUCAACACAGUCUGAAAUCAUUAGCAGCUGCGUAGACGGACGGAUGAAAUAAAAGAAAUGUUCAGUAAUUCACACCGUAUUCUGGUUGGUUUGAUCUCCACUGAAUACGGAUCCGUGUUUCCUCCGAGAAGCUUCCAUUCGGGGGCCGACUCCGAUGCCUCUGAUUCUCUCUCUUGUCACUUUAAUGAUGCUACGAAAUUUAAUUUGCUCUAAUUCCACAUUUGCUAAAGUUUUAUUUUGUUCUGUAAAUACUAUGCAACAGAUUUGAUGAUAAUGUAACAUUGCAUUCCAGUGUCACAGCCACUGGAAAUUAUACUUCUCCAGUAAAUUAAAG
This is a long non-coding RNA of Scophthalmus maximus (turbot), 3406 nucleotides long. Lineage: Eukaryota; Metazoa; Chordata; Actinopteri; Pleuronectiformes; Scophthalmidae. The record is from Ensembl.